This is a long non-coding RNA of Brassica rapa (field mustard), 1357 nucleotides long. RefSeq lists it as uncharacterized. Lineage: Eukaryota; Viridiplantae; Streptophyta; Magnoliopsida; Brassicales; Brassicaceae. The record is from RefSeq and is a predicted model, not a curated record.
CCACUAUUUAUGUUUAUUUACCACCAAACCAAGACAAGUCAGUAGGCGGUGCGAAUCUCAAAUUCUUUAUUCAUUUGUUGCAAGUGCGAAUCUCAAAUUACAGCGUUUUAAAAAAAAAAAUUUCCACCCUCCCUGGAACACCAUAUGAUAAACACUGGACCAUAUUUUGGAUUAACAAAGACCUAAGACUUGGAGCCUAAACAACAUCUAAGGAUCAUUUUUCUUCUCUCUUUUAUCAUCUCGCUUCUUCUAAAUAUGUUCUUAGAAGCUUCAGUAGAUUAAGCUAAACUUAAUCAUUUCUACCUUAUCUUUUCUUUCUGUAAUCUUUUGUGUGGACCAAUUAUUAAUUUAAGAAAACCCUUUGACAAAAAAAAACUAAAGAGGAUAUUGUCUUUGAUCUCACCAGUGCCGGCUGCAAUCGGGAUAAAAGUGGGUGGUGCUUUCAUUUUAAUAUACUUUUGAAUCAUUUCAAAUUGUCAAGAUAACAAAAACAAAUCCACCACUUGCGCACUAAUACAAGUACUUAAUUACGACAAUAGUGUAAUAAUUAGUGUUCUUAAAGAAAAUCCUAAAUAUUUUUAAGAAAAUUAAUAAUUCGAUAUCUAUUAUAUUAAAAGUGAAGCAGUCUUGAGAAAUCUACUUAUACAAGGUUACUACACUCUUUCAUUUAACUAAUAGUACAUUGGUCUACCUUUUAUUUUGCCUACUAUAUACAUUACCAUAUAUUACUCAAUGAUAAUUUAAGGGCUUUUACUCCAUAUAAUGUCACAUAUGUUUUAGUCUAUAUAUUAGAUGUUCCUAAUAGGGCUUAUUUGCCAAAUAACCAAAAAAAAAGAGUAAUUAGAUUUUUAGUGAGAGGUUAGAGAGAGAUAGGAAGAGAAAUAAGGAGAGAGAACGUGUUUUUGGUUAGAUACUGGGUUUGUGUUUUUUUUUGUGGUUAUAGGGUGCAAUUUCCCUUCCUAAUAGGCCAUGUGAAAUAAAAAAACGUACGAUGUAUAUACGACAAUGUCGUAGUUGGUAUGCCUUAUAGUACACGGAAACCCCUGUUUCUUCUUCAAUAUAUUGAUCUCAUUCAUAUUAUAACCAUGACAAUAUUAUUGAGUUAGAACACUAUAACACUCACUAGACUAAACCACCUUAUUCAUCUCAAAAUCUAAUGUACAAGCUAUCUAUAAUACCUUAUUCAUCUCAUAAUAUAUAAGCUAUCUAUACCAAAUCAGACCAUUUUAGCGCAAACUUGGUAUGAUUCAAACAGUCCGGUACAAGUUUAACAAUUAAAAUUUUAAAAUCGAAGAACAACUAAAAUUUUAAAAUCCGCGAUCAUAUUGCCUAAAUCGUUACAAAGUUUUCAAAAAAA